AGCCAAUCAGCGGCCUUGUUGUUGGUCUGCCCGGAAACAGCGGCCGCCAUGUUGAGUUGUAGUUUGCGGUGGAAAGUGUCUGAGAGAGGAAGAGAAGUCCAUCUGCUGUGUGUUGUGGAAAUAAGUUUGCAGCCAUAAGUGCAGCCGUCCGUGCGUGUGCGCGUCCAGGAGCAUAGCUCGAUGGUGAACCAGCCUGACUGCGGGUGAUAAAAUGUGAUGAAGACGUGAUGAGAGAAGCAGAGCAGAGUCUGAGGAGGAAACGUCGCCGUCAGCAGAGGAGAACAAACAGCAUCAAAGCUCCUGGACGCUGUUUUAGAAGCUGAAGAGCAGAUUCACCCAGCAGGCAGCAAAAGCUCCACAACUUAGCCAGGGAGGAGGGGCCAACCUUACCUGUUGUGUUUACCAACCGCAACCACAAAUCUUAUUCAUUCUACCUUUCAAUAAAAAAAUCAAUAAAUA
This is a long non-coding RNA of Myripristis murdjan (pinecone soldierfish), 459 nucleotides long. RefSeq lists it as uncharacterized. NCBI's taxonomy places the organism in Eukaryota, Metazoa, Chordata, Actinopteri, Holocentriformes, Holocentridae. The record is from RefSeq and is a predicted model, not a curated record. The transcript is spliced from 3 exons.